CCCCGGCCGCCUCCUGACCCCACGAGGACCCCAGCCCUGCCAGCGGGAGAUGACGGCAGCGCAGACCCUGCGGCACGGCCUCAGCCGGGAGCCGCGCUGGUCAGAGAGCCCUCGGCACCGACAGACGCUGCCACGGAGCCCCAGGUGCGGAGGGCUGGCCCAGGCCACGGCACCUUGCCUGACGGAUGACACACACACCCCACCACGCCGACCCUACGAGGCCCCAGCUGGCCUCGGGAUGAUGGAGAGAACUAGGCUGGGCCGGGGGUCCUCUCCAUCUCACAGAAACGGAAUUCCAGCGUCACUUCAGCAAGAUCGGACACGCGGACACUCCGGGUCCCCGGGCCGACGACAAGCUGCGACGUGUCACUGCUCUGCAGGCCACUCUCUCGUCCUUCUCAGAGCCCACCCAGCGCCUCGCCUGGCCCGGCCCGGGGGCCCCCGCAGCUCUGGGAGGUGAAGUCCUUCUCUCUGGAGGCCGCAGCUGUGGCGCAGCAGGUUAAGCCACCAGGCCAGCUCCCUGCCAAUGCGCCCGGGAAGGCAGUGGAGUGCGUGGGCCCCUGCACCCGUGUGGGAGACCCCGAUGGAGCUCAGGCUGCUGGCUUCCGCCUGCCCAGUCCCAGUCGUUUUGGCCUCGCAGCGUGUGAAGCAGCGGUGGACGGCCGGUCCCUCUCCCCGUCGCCCUCUCUGACACGCUGCCUUCCUCUUCAGUCUCCUCCGCCGGGCCACGGUGGGUCUCGGCCUCAGCGCUCAUCUCGUGCCGUGAAGUGGCGGCCGCUGGCUCCCCCGUGACGCGGGAGGAAGAGGGGGGGCUGUGACCCCCAGGACGGGGCCCCGUCUGAGAGCCAGUGCAGCGGUCACUGAGGAAGGCUGGGGGCAGUGGCUGGAGGGAGUGGCUCCCAGCGUGACCAGGGGACCCUCCAGGGUGCCCGCGAGGCAGAGCUGCCAUCUGCACUUUUCACUCUGGGUCCCCUAUAGCUUCGGGCUCUCUCUCCCCACCCCAGGGCCUGGUCAAGGCCAGCCUGGGUGGCCCUGGGGAAGCCCCUGCGGCUGUGCGGGGUCCAAGGCCCCACUGCGCUCAGCUCUACCACAGGUGGUCGGUACAAAGCUUGGGCCAAAACCCGGGACAAGCGGAACUGAACCCCACCGCGGAGGGCAUCCCCUGUACCACAGGCACAGCCAACCAGCUCCUUCCAGGAGAGGAGCGGAGCCCAGGGAGGGGCAGCGAUUUGCCCAAGGCCACAGAGCAGGCCAGGGCAGGCAGGCGGAGGGCCAGGAGUCAUGCAGGGCUCGAAGCCCACCCCAGCGCCCUGCGGCCCAGGGCUCUCAGCACCGCACGUGCAACUCGGGCCCCUCCAGCUCCAGGCCAAGCCCGGGCCUGUGUCUUCCCAGGCUCGGUGGCUUCCAAGCUCUGCCCCGGUGAAGGGAGCCCUCGGGCCUGGAGGAAGCAGCUCCGGGUGGGGGUGCUCGGGCACGCCAAGUUCUGGGUUCCGAGCCCUGGUCCCCGCCUGGCUGCGGGCACACUUACGGCAUCUCCAGGGGACCCACUGACCUG
Oryctolagus cuniculus (rabbit) is the source of this 1555-nucleotide non-coding RNA. Lineage: Eukaryota; Metazoa; Chordata; Mammalia; Lagomorpha; Leporidae. The record is from RefSeq and is a predicted model, not a curated record.